GACGAACGCUGGCGGCGUGCUUAACACAUGCAAGUCGAACGGAAAGGCCCUGCUUUUGUGGGGUGCUCGAGUGGCGAACGGGUGAGUAACACGUGAGUAACCUGCCCUUGACUUUCGGAUAACUUCAGGAAACUGGGGCUAAUACCGGAUAGGAGCUCCUGCUGCAUGGUGGGGGUUGGAAAGUUUCGGCGGUUGGGGAUGGUCUCGCGGCUUAUCAGCUUGUUGGUGGGGUAGUGGCUUACCAAGGUUUUGACGGGUAGCCGGCCUGAGAGGGGGACCGGCCACAGUGGGACUACGAGACGGAGCAGACGCGUACGGGAGGCAGCGGUGGGGAAUCUUGCACAAUGGGCGGAAGCCAGAUGCAGCAACGCCGCGUGCGGGAUGACGGCCUUCGGGCGGUAAACCGCUUUCGCCUGUGACGAAGCGUGAGUGACGGUAAUGGGUAAAGAAGCAACGGCUAACUACGUG
Molecule: ribosomal RNA, 468 nt
Filed under: uncultured bacterium
Lineage: Bacteria
Description: partial 16S ribosomal RNA
Rfam family: Bacterial small subunit ribosomal RNA
Source: RNAcentral